AGGAUGAACGCUGGCGGCGUGCCUAAUACAUGCAAGUCGAGCGGUAAGGCCUCUUCGGAGGUACACGAGCGGCGGACGGCUGAGUAACACGUAGGAACGUACCCCAAAGUGAGGCAUAAGCACCAGAAAUGGUGUCUAAUACCGCAUGUGCUCUAAGGAGUAAAGCUUCGGCGCUUUGGGAACGGCCUGCGCAUGAUUAGCUUGUUGGUGAGGUAAUAGCUCACCAAGGCGACGAUCAUUAGCUGGUCUGAGAGGAUGACCAGCCAGACUGGGACUGAGAACGGCCCAGACUCCUACGGGAGGCAGCAGUAGGGAAUUUUCCACAAUGGGC
RNAcentral lists this ribosomal RNA (331 nucleotides) under uncultured bacterium. RNAcentral's name for it is "SSU rRNA". It matches the Rfam family "Bacterial small subunit ribosomal RNA", at positions 26 to 376 of the family's 1533-position model. The record is from RNAcentral.